This 348-nucleotide ribosomal RNA is filed under the name Triticum aestivum (bread wheat). RNAcentral describes it as "partial small subunit ribosomal RNA". Lineage: Eukaryota; Viridiplantae; Streptophyta; Magnoliopsida; Poales; Poaceae. The record is from RNAcentral.
AUGGCGCGUUCUCUGUGCCGCGUGUGCCUGAGUUGGGGUGGGGCGUGGUUGGAAGGAGGGCAGGCUUCAAAUUGGUGUCGAGCACAACAUGUCGACCUCGAAGAAGAGCUUGAACAACCUGCCCCCACCCCUCCUGUGAAAGCAAGCUUGAAGGUGCCAGGUGGUCGAUUGUGGAACAGAAGGCGUGGCGGUAGGGCAGAGGGGUGGACGCUACAAGUGGUUGGGAUCACGAAGAAGAGGCAGGCUGCAGCUCGCCAGCACCUUUACAACUGGGAUGGUUACAAAGACUUGGAGUUCGGUGGUUCGGAGGAGUUGUACAGCAACCUGAUCAUGCUCUCAGAAUUCUAG